AUGGCUGUGAGCACGCCGAAGGAAUUCUAUGGCGGCAAAUUCUGCAGCGCCGAGCUGGACGACAAAGGGAAGCAGCAGCACAAGGUGACCGGAUCGCUCGAGGUCGGGGCACACACCGCCCCGCACAUAUGGCUCGGCGACCUGGACCAGGCGAACCAGGAGAUGGGCGACCUCAGCACGGCGGCGCGCGACCCCGUCUUCUACUCCAACCACUCCAACGUGGACCGCAUGUGGCACGUCUGGAGCACCAAGCUCGGCGGCCCCUUCCUCCCCUACCAGGAGUGGCUCGACACCAGCUUCGUCUUCUACGACGCCGACAAGCGGCCCGUGCGCACCAAGGUCAGCAACGUCCUCGACACCCGCAAGCUCGGCUACACCUACGAGGAGCACGGCGAGCUGCCGUGGCUGGGGAAACGGCCCAAGCCGGCCACCGGCAUCGACCGCCGCCCCGGCAAGAGGAGCGCUAACAAGGUCACCAGCUCGUCGUACACCACCGUGACGCUGAGGAACGACGAGAACGUGUACAUGACGGUGGCGAGGCCGGAGGAGGCCCGGGCCGGCCGCGGCAGCAGCAAGAAGGCGCCGGAGGCGCUGGUGGUGGACAUCACGCUGGACCCCUGCGAGUACGUCAAGUUCGACGUGCUGGUCAACGUCCCCAAGGGCCAGGAGUACAAGGUGGGCCCGCGGAACGCCGAGUUCGCCGGAAGCUUCACGCAUGUGCCGCACGGGAGAAGCUUCGGCGGCGGCAUGGCGAUGAUCCAGGUGUCGUACCAGUUCGCGCUGCGGGAGCUGCUGAGGACCUCAAGUCCGGCGAGAGAACGGCCAGCUGGACAUCACCAUCGUCCCCGUCAACGCCGAUGA
This 861-nucleotide ribosomal RNA is filed under the name Triticum aestivum (bread wheat). Its description in RNAcentral is "partial small subunit ribosomal RNA". Lineage: Eukaryota; Viridiplantae; Streptophyta; Magnoliopsida; Poales; Poaceae. The record is from RNAcentral.